CAGUACACGGGUAAUACGUAGGGUGCAAGCGUUAAUCGGAAUUACUGGGCGUAAAGCGUGCGCAGGCGGUUAUAUAAGACAGAUGUGAAAUCCCCGGGCUCAACCUGGGAACUGCAUUUGUGACUGUAUAGCUAGAGUACGGCAGAGGGGGAUGGAAUUCCGCGUGUAGCAGUGAAAUGCGUAGAUAUGCGGAGGAACACCGAUGGCGAAGGCAAUCCCCUGGGCCUGUACUGACGCUCAUGCACGAAAGCGUGGGGAGCAAACAGGAUUAGAUACCCCGGUAGUCCCUGUCUCUUAUACC
This 301-nucleotide ribosomal RNA is filed under the name uncultured bacterium. Its description in RNAcentral is "partial 16S ribosomal RNA". It matches the Rfam family "Bacterial small subunit ribosomal RNA", at positions 509 to 808 of the family's 1533-position model. The record is from RNAcentral.